GUCCCCGUAGCUCAGUUGGAUAGAGUACUGGCCUCCGAAGCCAGAUGCGGCAGUUCAAGUCUGCCCGGGGGCA
RNAcentral lists this transfer RNA (73 nucleotides) under Candidatus Omnitrophus magneticus. It matches the Rfam family "tRNA". Rfam says of the family: Transfer RNA (tRNA) molecules are approximately 80 nucleotides in length. Their secondary structure includes four short double-helical elements and three loops (D, anti-codon, and T loops). Lineage: Bacteria; Pseudomonadati; Candidatus Omnitrophota. The record is from Rfam by way of RNAcentral.